This 253-nucleotide ribosomal RNA is filed under the name uncultured bacterium. RNAcentral describes it as "partial 16S ribosomal RNA". It matches the Rfam family "Bacterial small subunit ribosomal RNA", at positions 524 to 776 of the family's 1533-position model. The record is from RNAcentral.
UACAGAGGGGGCAAGCGUUAUUCGGAAUUAUUGGGCGUAAAGGGCGCGUAGGCGGCCUGGCAAGUGGAAGGUGAAAUCCCUCGGCUUAACCGAGGAACUGCCCUCCAAACUGCUUGGCUUGAGUCCGGGAGAGGUGAGUGGAAUUCCCAGUGUAGCGGUGAAAUGCGUAGAUAUUGGGAGGAACACCAGUGGCGAAGGCGGCUCACUGGACCGGAACUGACGCUGAGGAGCGAAAGCGUGGGGAGCGAACAGG